This 208-nucleotide ribosomal RNA is filed under the name uncultured bacterium. Its description in RNAcentral is "partial 16S ribosomal RNA". It matches the Rfam family "Bacterial small subunit ribosomal RNA", at positions 568 to 774 of the family's 1533-position model. The record is from RNAcentral.
UGUGUAGGCGGUCCGGUAAGUCGGUUGUGAAAGUCCAGGGCUCAACCCUGGGAUGCCGAUCGAUACUGCCGGACUAGAGUCCGGAAGAGGCGAGUGGAAUUCCCGGUGUAGCGGUGAAAUGCGCAGAUAUCGGGAGGAACACCAAUGGCGAAGGCAGCUCGCUGGGACGGUACUGACGCUGAGACGCGAAAGCGUGGGGAAGCAAACA